AACUGGACAGUGGGUUUGUGGCUGCUUAGAAGAUAACAGGGGAAGUUGAACUUAGUUGCUUGCAAUAGCUUUUGAUUGGCAGUGGCACCUUGGGAUACCCUGAAGGUGAAUGGAGAUGGCUAUGGAGUUCUGUCAUGGGUGAAGGAUGCCUCCCCACCAUGGCAUGUGUGUAGGUCUGCGCCCAGGAUCUGAACCCACGAACCCCGGGCCCCUGAAGUGGAACCCACAAACUUAACCACUACGCCACCAGGCUGUCAAGCAGAUUUCCUGAAACAAACAUGAUCUUUGAAGAGCCAGCAACUGGUGGUGAAUUAAAAACAGAUGAAUUUUCCAUAU
Molecule: long non-coding RNA, 336 nt
Filed under: Equus caballus (horse)
Lineage: Eukaryota; Metazoa; Chordata; Mammalia; Perissodactyla; Equidae
Description: lncRNA (ENSECAG00000046565.1)
Source: RNAcentral